UCCACUGUAGGACAAUAGUUAAAUUCUCUACUAAAAAUGGAAAAUUCCGGGUUCAAACCUCGGCAGUGGAA
Molecule: transfer RNA, 71 nt
Filed under: Arabidopsis lyrata subsp. lyrata
Lineage: Eukaryota; Viridiplantae; Streptophyta; Magnoliopsida; Brassicales; Brassicaceae
Rfam family: tRNA
About the family: Transfer RNA (tRNA) molecules are approximately 80 nucleotides in length. Their secondary structure includes four short double-helical elements and three loops (D, anti-codon, and T loops). Further hydrogen bonds mediate the characteristic L-shaped molecular structure. tRNAs have two regions of fundamental functional importance: the anti-codon, which is responsible for specific mRNA codon recognition, and the 3' end, to which the tRNAs corresponding amino acid is attached (by aminoacyl-tRNA synthetases). tRNAs cope with the degeneracy of the genetic code in two manners: having more than one tRNA (with a specific anti-codon) for a particular amino acid; and 'wobble' base-pairing, i.e. permitting non-standard base-pairing at the 3rd anti-codon position.
Source: Rfam by way of RNAcentral